RNAcentral lists this ribosomal RNA (597 nucleotides) under uncultured bacterium. RNAcentral's name for it is "bacterial SSU rRNA". It matches the Rfam family "Bacterial small subunit ribosomal RNA", at positions 341 to 929 of the family's 1533-position model. The record is from RNAcentral.
ACGGGAGGCAGCAGUAGGGAAUCUUCGGCAAUGGACGGAAGUCUGACCGAGCAACGCCGCGUGAGUGAAGAAGGUUUUCGGAUCGUAAAGCUCUGUUGUAAGAGAAGAACGAGUGUGAGAGUGGAAAGUUCACACUGUGACGGUAUCUUACCAGAAAGGGACGGCUAACUACGUGCCAGCAGCCGCGGUAAUACGUAGGUCCCGAGCGUUGUCCGGAUUUAUUGGGCGUAAAGCGAGCGCAGGCGGUUAGAUAAGUCUGAAGUUAAAGGCUGUGGCUUAACCAUAGUACGCUUUGGAAACUGUUUAACUUGAGUGCAAGAGGGGAGAGUGGAAUUCCAUGUGUAGCGGUGAAAUGCGUAGAUAUAUGGAGGAACACCGGUGGCGAAAGCGGCUCUCUGGCUUGUAACUGACGCUGAGGCUCGAAAGCGUGGGGAGCAAACAGGAUUAGAUACCCUGGUAGUCCACGCCGUAAACGAUGAGUGCUAGGUGUUAGACCCUUUCCGGGGUUUAGUACCGCAGCUAACGCAUUAAGCACUCCGCCUGGGGAGUACGACCGCAAGGUUGAAACUCAAAGGAAUUGACGGGGGCCCGCACAAG